ACUUAACAGGCGCUGAAUUCCUGUUUGGAAGCGGGGGACCCACUUUUUUGGGGGUGAGUCUUACCGGGAUGGUAAGUAGGGCCACUCUUUCGGCCCGAAUCCGUCAGCUAACCUCGUAAGCGUGGAAGGAGCGGCGAG
Molecule: small RNA, 138 nt
Filed under: Clostridiales bacterium PH28_bin88
Lineage: Bacteria; Bacillati; Bacillota; Clostridia; Eubacteriales
Also listed under: 1 other name
Description: c-di-AMP riboswitch aptamer (ydaO/yuaA leader)
Rfam family: c-di-AMP riboswitch aptamer (ydaO/yuaA leader)
About the family: This family represents a conserved RNA structure found upstream of the ydaO and yuaA genes in Bacillus subtilis and related genes in other bacteria.
Source: Rfam by way of RNAcentral